CAACACCCACCAACACAAAGUUUGUGCUGAUUGUUUCCAGAAUUCUCUCCUAUCAAUUGCCCUCCAUUCAUCAGAAGGAGCAACAAUGUUCCUGUGGUUAAAUUUGGUGUCCUUUCUUUUAAUGCUCAGAGGAGUCCAGUCUCAAGUCCAUUUGGUGGAGUCUGGAGGAGAUGUGAGAAGACCUGGGGAGUCCCUCCGUCUCUCCUGCCAAACCUCUGGAUUCACCUUUAGUAGUGCCUACAUGCACUGGGUGAGACAGGCUCCAGGAAAAGGACUUGAAUGGGUGGCACGCAUAAACCCUUCCAGUACUACUUACUAUUCAGACAAAGUCAAGGGCCGCUUCACCAUCUCCAGAGACAAUGCCAAAAGCCAGCUGUAUCUGCAAAUGAACAGCCUCAAAGCUGAAGACACGGCAGUCUAUUACUGUACAGGAGACACAGUGAGAGGAAGUGAAUCUGAAGCUUGGUAA
Molecule: non-coding RNA, 469 nt
Organism: Thamnophis sirtalis
Lineage: Eukaryota; Metazoa; Chordata; Lepidosauria; Squamata; Natricidae
Source: the annotation of a RefSeq genome assembly